RNAcentral lists this ribosomal RNA (508 nucleotides) under uncultured bacterium. RNAcentral's name for it is "bacterial SSU rRNA". It matches the Rfam family "Bacterial small subunit ribosomal RNA", at positions 28 to 525 of the family's 1533-position model. The record is from RNAcentral.
GAUGAACGCUAGCGAUAGGCCUAACACAUGCAAGUCGAGGGGCAUCACAUGAGGCAGCAAUGCCGAUGGUGGCGACCGGCGCACGGGUGAGUAACACGUAUGCAACCUGCCUUCAACAAGGGGAUAACCCGUUGAAAAACGGACUAAUACCCUAUAAUACAGGGGUCCCGCAUGGGGAUAUUUGUUAAAGAUUGAUCGGUUGAAGAUGGGCAUGCGUUCCAUUAGCUGGUUGGUGAGGUAACGGCUCACCAAGGCAACGAUGGAUAGGGGAACUGAGAGGUUUAUCCCCCACACUGGUACUGAGACACGGACCAGACUCCUACGGGAGGCAGCAGUGAGGAAUAUUGGUCAAUGGACGCAAGUCUGAACCAGCCACGUCGCGUGAAGGAAGACGGCCCUACGGGUUGUAAACUUCUUUUAUACGGGAAUAAAGUGCCCCACGCGUGGGGUUUUGCAUGUACCGUAUGAAUAAGGAUCGGCUAACUCCGUGCCAGCAGCCGCGGUAAUU